AUUGAACGCUGGCGGCAGGCCUAACACAUGCAAGUCGAACGAGUGGCGGACGGGUGAGUGAUUUCUGGGAAACUGCCCGAUGUAGGGGGGUAACUACUGGGAACGGUAGCGAAUACCGCACACGAUCAGAUGUGCCCAGAUGGGAUUAGCUAGUAGGUGGGGUAACGGCUCACCUAGGCGACGAUCCCUAGCUGGUCUGAGAGGAUGACCAGCCACACUGGAACUGAGACACGGUCCAGACUCCUACGGGAGGCAGCAGUGGGGAAUAUUGCACAAUGGGCGCAAGCCUGAUGCAGCCAUGCCGCGUGUAUGAAGAAGGCCUUCGGGUUGUAAAGUACUUUCAGCGAGGAGGCGUUACUCGCAGAAGAAGCACCGGCUAACUCCGUGCCAGCAGCCGCGGUAAUUC
Molecule: ribosomal RNA, 406 nt
Filed under: uncultured bacterium
Lineage: Bacteria
Description: partial 16S ribosomal RNA
Rfam family: Bacterial small subunit ribosomal RNA
Source: RNAcentral